RNAcentral lists this ribosomal RNA (460 nucleotides) under uncultured bacterium. Its description in RNAcentral is "partial 16S ribosomal RNA". It matches the Rfam family "Bacterial small subunit ribosomal RNA", at positions 338 to 795 of the family's 1533-position model. The record is from RNAcentral.
CCUACGGGAGGCAGCAGUGAGGAAUAUUGGUCAAUGGACGAGAGUCUGAACCAGCCAAGUAGCGUGAAGGAUGACUGCCCUAUGGGUUGUAAACUUCUUUUAUAUGGGAAUAAAAUGUUCCACGUGUGGGAUUUUGUAUGUACCUUAUGAAUAAGGAUCGGCUAACUCCGUGCCAGCAGCCGCGGUAAUACGGAGGAUCCGAGCGUUAUCCGGAUUUAUUGGGUUUAAAGGGAGGGGAGGCGGACUGUUAAGUCAGUUGUGAAAGUUUGCGGCUCAACCGUAAAAUUGCAGUUGAAACUGGCGGUCUUGAGUACAGGAGAGGUGGGCGGAAUUCGUGGGGUAGCGGUGAAAUGCUUAGAUAUCACGAAGAACUCCGAUUGCGAAGGCAGCGCACUGGACUGCAACUGACGCUGAGGCUCGAAAGUGUGGGUAUCAAACAGGAUUAGAUACCCGGGUAGUC